Long non-coding RNA from Pipistrellus kuhlii (Kuhl's pipistrelle), 147 nucleotides. RefSeq lists it as uncharacterized. NCBI's taxonomy places the organism in Eukaryota, Metazoa, Chordata, Mammalia, Chiroptera, Vespertilionidae. The transcript is spliced from 3 exons. The record is from RefSeq and is a predicted model, not a curated record.
UUCCUAAGCCUUUGGACACCCUAAUUAAGUGAAUAACAUUGUCCCUACCUACAGUGUUUAAGUUUAAAAAACUGGGCUCUCAAAAGAAAUUUCAAUCGUUGUACUGUUGAGAGUUGGCCCUGUUGACUAAUGAGUUUGCCGACCACU